AAGUCGUAACAAGGUUUCCGUAGGUGAACCUGCGGAAGGAUCAUUAACACGUAUCCACGUACCCACUAGUAAAACAUUGUGUCACCAAAACAUCUCUCAGCGACCGGAUCAUGAGACCCGCAAACGGUAGAGUCUCUCCAAAAGGGAGACUGUCUCACCGGUAGAGGGAUUCCGUCUUGAGGUUUGACAUAAAACAAUCUCCCAAGCUUUCGGGCUUGCAGUUUCUGGCUGCCGUUUUGUACUUGGUUGUACCACUUUUUCACCAUUUGUACCUUUAUUUUGUCUAAACUUAAAGGGUUUGACUUGGAAACAAGCAAAUCCGAUUGUCGCGAAAUGUUUUUACAACUCUUAGCAGCGGAUAUCUUGGUUCUC
RNAcentral lists this unclassified non-coding RNA (372 nucleotides) under fungal sp. Its description in RNAcentral is "partial internal transcribed spacer region". The stretch from base 1 to 46 matches the Rfam family "Eukaryotic small subunit ribosomal RNA", at positions 1786 to 1831 of the family's 1831-position model. The record is from RNAcentral. Lineage: Eukaryota; Fungi.